RNAcentral lists this ribosomal RNA (1206 nucleotides) under Triticum aestivum (bread wheat). RNAcentral's name for it is "partial small subunit ribosomal RNA". The record is from RNAcentral. Lineage: Eukaryota; Viridiplantae; Streptophyta; Magnoliopsida; Poales; Poaceae.
AUGGAUCUGGCCCUCACUCUGUCUCCCUCUCGCUCACUCACUCUCUCCCCCCUCACUCUCACUCUCCCCCUCGCUCUGUUUCCCCUGGCCGAGCUCUCCAUCGUCGCCGACCACCUCAGUUCCUCGUCGCCGGCCAGGAUGCCUUCUUGGAAUGAUGGGGAUGAGAGCUCCGACGAUAGCAUGGGGGGCAACCUGAUGGACAUGGAGUACUUUGACACACCUGACACCAUCCCUGAGCCACUCUGGUGUGGUGCUCCCAUGGAGGAAGUUGCCAAGUGUACUCUGCAUGAUAUGAAGCCUAGGAAGUGUGUUGCUUUUGAAGGUGCUAAGACUGGGAGGAGGUUCUAUGGAUGCCCUGUUCAGGGAGGUGUGAAUUGUGGUGUAGUUCAGUGGGUUGAUCCUGCCUGGCCUGAUGUACUUAAGAACUGCCUCAUCAAGUUGUGGGAAAUGUUCCAUGAGCAAAACCUUGGAAGGAUUCAAGACAAGCAUGCAUAUGAGGAUGAGGUUGCCAAGUUGAAGAAGGACUAUGAUCUGCUCUGCACUGAGUAUCAUAAAAUGGUUGAUGAUGUUAGCAAGAUGUUUGACUGGCAUGAUGGUGUUGGCAAGAUUGACUACCAAAAAGCAAUGAAUGCUGGGAAAUUUGAGAAGCAGAAGGAAGAGCUAGAGCUGGAGAUGAAGAUGGAGAAGCUAAGGCUAGCAAAAGAACAGAGGUGUAUCCUUCAGGCCCAGGCAGACAUAAUUCACAACACCAGAAAGGCAAUGAAAGAGAUAAAGGUGGACAGGGAUCUUCUUGCACAAGAGAAGCAGAGCUUGAGAAAGCCUUGCAAGAUGAUGGUAGGAGUAUAUUUUGUGCAGUCCUAUAUGAACUGUUUAAGUUAUGUCUAUAAAGCCCACCCCUUGAGUGAAACCACAGUCAAUCCCCCCAUCCCCACCCUUCUCAACCCCCCAGCCGCCAAAGAAACCCUAGAAUCCAAGGGAGAGAUGGAUCCUGGAGAGGUCAUAGAUGCAGAAGAAGAGGUGCCCAGACAAGCCAGGCGCAGAGAUGCAAGGAGGAGGGCGAGAAGGCAACUUGCUGAGAUGAUCCUUGCAGCACGCAACCGCAAGGACAUAGAGCAGUUCCUGGAGGCAUUCCCCCCUGGUUCCAACCCUAGUGAUGAUGAUAUCAUCUACUGGGCAAGGAGGAGGGCAAAUUUCCAUCCCUUUUAG